UCAUUAAAUGCAUAGAGGUGUUACCAAAUACUUGAAAAUUUUCUUUUCCCUGGAAUCUUCACAGGUGGUGUGAGGGUGUAUAAUAAAGCAUGGGGAGGACGCUUUGAGAAUUAUUAUUCAAGGCAUUGUGUCACUCAUAUCAUAUGCAGUAACCUUCCGGACAGUACAAUCAGGAACACGAGUUUUAGGUACAUAAGUUCUAGUGUUAAUGUUUCUACUUGAAGAACAUCUAUAAUCCAUGUGGACAUGAUCAUCAUAUAGUGGCGAUGGAGAGAUUGACUGGUUUCUUCUCUAGGUGUCCCUUUUGUCCCCACAUUUUUGGCUUAUAAGAAUUGUUACUAUGGUUUGAAGUGAGAACAAGGACCAUGCUAGGUUUAAUUUUCAGUAUAUUAAUUUUAUUGUACUAUCAUUUGAUUCACUCCCCAACUUUGUGCAAAAAGGGUUAGAUGCUUGAAUAAUUCAUAUCUCUGUUUGUCUACCUAGAUGUUUGUUUCCUGUGUGUUUACUUCAAAGAUGAUAAUGUAGAAAUUUAGAGUUUUCUGCAAAUAGUUUUGGUACAAGGACCAGCUAAAUAGCGUUGUAUAUUAUUAUUUUUUUUUUUUGGUAAAUGCAGUUACAAUCAAAGGCUCCUCUUUGGCUAUCUCAAGUAUGCCUAAGUUUAUGGGAAUUCUUCUUGGUACUUUUUUUGCCAUGUGUUGACUCUACGUACAUAAAUUUCUUGGAAAUCACCAACCAUUGUUUCUGGAUCUUAACUUGGAUUGUAGGAUCAAUAUUAUCCUACUUUUCAUUUUCAUGGAAUCUGUUCAGAUUGCACACUGUAUCAUGUUUUGGUAGGACCAAUAUAAGAUCACAUGAUUGGAUCUGAAUCAUUUCUACGUGAUCCUACUUAACUCAUAUUUUGGGAUAAAAUGUGCCCUUUUUACUGCAUUUCUUGUGG
Diospyros lotus (date-plum) is the source of this 937-nucleotide long non-coding RNA. RefSeq lists it as uncharacterized. Lineage: Eukaryota; Viridiplantae; Streptophyta; Magnoliopsida; Ericales; Ebenaceae. The record is from RefSeq and is a predicted model, not a curated record. The transcript has 3 exons.